UACAAAAUGACCUGAAAACGGGAAAUUUGGCCAAAAGUAGGAAAUUUCGAGGGUGAGAGGCACGUCGGGAAUUGAAGGCGAAAGAUAGGCGGAUUCACAGGGUACUUUCCGCUGCUGGAGUUAGCAUCAAGCCUGGUUUAUGUGGUGCUCCAGACUAAAUCCACCUAGGGCUUACUGCAUAUUCAACGGGGUUUCUGUGUAUCCUUGGCUGUUCUGAACUCUGUAGACCAGGCUGGUUUUGAACUCAGAAACCCGCCAGGCGUUCCCCACCACCAAAUGCCUUCAUAAUUUUAUGUGUACCAAAUGUGUGCUGGUAGUGCCUAUGAAGGCCAGAAGAUGAAGGUAUUGGGAGCCCUGAAACUGGAAUUCCAGGUGGUUGUGAGCUGCCUGAUGUGAGUGCUGGGAAUCCUCUGCAACUGCCAAGCCAUCUGUAGAUCUUCAAGUGAACUUUGAAAUCAAGUCAUGGGCUAGAGAACAGGCUCAGCCGUUAAGAGCACUGGCUGCCCUUCCAGAGAUCCUGAGUUCAAUUCCCAGCAACCACAUGGUGGCUCACAACCAUCUGUAAUGGGAUCUGAUACCCUCUUCUGGCAUAAAGUCAAUGGAGCACUCUUACACAUAAAAUAAAUAUUUUUUUAAAGCCAUAAUUAUUGCCUUAUUAUUUAUUGAGACAGAGUCUUAUUAUGUAGCUCUGGCUGUCCUAGGACUAAAUACAUAGUGACACGUAGUACAUGUAGGCUGGCCUUGAGCUCAGAGAUCACAUGUGCUCCAGUGCUGUGUACUACCAUGCCUUAGCUAAAACAAGCUGACAUGUGGCUAGCAACCUAACUAGCAUUAAAUGUUUCACUUCUCCCUAAACUUUGACAUGCUCUUGAAGGUCCAAGAUAUUUCUAGAACCACACCAAACACUCAGUUCUUCCCAGCACUAAAUUUAGAGACUAAGGCAAAAGGACCAUGAGUUUGAGACCAAUAGGGAGACCCUAUAUCAAAAGCAAAAACCAGGGAUGGCUAUGCAGACCUGAAAUCUCAACACUUGGGAGAUCAGUUUAAGGUCAUCCUCAGCUGUAUAGUUAGUAUGUAUCCUGGGUUACAUGAGACUGUCUCAGACAAGUCACACACUUUCCAUGACCACUUGUGAAACGUCCUCACACUCCAUCUCUUUCUCUUUUUUGAAGCACUGGGAAGGUAUUGAACCUAGGUCCUCAAGCAUCUGUAUACAUCUGAUCUCAUGUAUUAUACCUCAGGCUGGUCUAGAGCUUGCUGCACACCUGCAGGUGACUUUAUUGGGCUGGUCAGAUAGCUCAAUGGGUAAAGGCACCUACCUGCCUGAUGAUCUGGGCUCAAUCCUGGGUCCCACAUGGUGGAAAGAAAACCUGAUUCCUGCAAAUUGUCCUUUGAUCUUCACAGAGGCACACAAAGUAAAAUGUAAUAAAAACUUAGAUGUAUGUUAUGAAUAUUCUGCCUCCAUGUAUAUGUACCACAUGUGUGCCUGGUACCCAGGGAGGUCAGCAAAGGGUGUAGGAUCCCUUGGAGCUGAAGUUAUGGAUGGUUCUGAGCCAGUGUAGGUGCUGGCAACUGAACCCAGGUCCUCUGCAAGAACAAGUGCUCUGUAACUGCUAAACCAGCUCUCCAAUUACCAUAUACUGUGCUUUUGGCUUGUUUUCUUACAAACUGUCUUUUUUUUUUUUUAUUUUUUGGUUUUUUCAAGACAGGGUUUCUCUGUGUAGCUUUGCGCCUUUCCUGGUACUCGCUCUGGAGACCAGGCUGGCCUCGAACUCACAGAGAUCCACCUGCCUCUGCCUCCCGAGUGCUGGGAUUAAAGGCGUGCGCCACCACCGCCCGGCCACAGACUGUCUUUUAAACAUUUAUUUACUUAGUGGGAUUAGGAAUUAACUCAGUAAAGGCCCUGGUUUUUAGUCCUCAGCUCUGAAAGAAAAAUAAUUUGUAUAGGCAUGAGUGCAGGCACUUCGGCCACCACAUACCUACGAAGUUAGAAGAUAUCUUCCAGAAAUCAGUUCUCUUUCACAUUGUGAGGCAGGUGAUAGACGAACAGACCAGUUUACUCUCUGCCCAGGAGUACAUCCAGCUUUCUGGGUCUCUGGCAGAAAAUUCAUAUCAUCUGGCUUGUGUGGCAAGUAUAAACUGAUCCUCCUGCCUCCAUCUCCAGUGUUUUAGGAAUUACAGGAAUGUAUCCAUCACACCUUUUUGCUUGGGGACCAAAUCCAGGACUUCUGAUUUAUGCACACUAGGCAAUCAGUCUACCAAAUGGGGUGUGUGUGUGUGUGUUUUUUGGUUUUUCGAGACAGGGUUUCUCUGUGUAGCUUUGCGCCUUUUCCUGGAACUCACUUGGUAGCCCAGGCUGGCCUUGAACUCACAGAGAUCCGCCUGGGUCUGCCUCCCGAGUGCUGGGAUUAAAGGCGUGCGCCACCACCGCCCAGCCCGUGUGUGUGUGUGUGUGUGUGUGUGUGUGUGUGUGUGUGUCUUUAUGUAUAUAUCCUUAGCCACUUAAACCCCAUUUCUUUCCUCUUUGGUUUUUUAGAGACAGGGUUCCUCUGUAGCUUUGGAGCCUGUCCUGGAACUCACUCUGUAGACCUAGCUGGUCUGGAACUCAGAGAUCUGCCUGCCUCUGCCUCCCCACUGCUGGGAUUAAAGGUGUGUUCCACCACUGGGCUUUAAAAUCUAUUUCUUUUUUUUUUUUUUUUUGAUUUAUUUAUUAUGUAUACAGCAUGUACACAUGCAGGCCAGAAGAGGGUAUCAGAUCUUACUACAGAUAGAUGGUUGUGAGCCACCAUGUGGCUGCUGAGAAUUGAACUCAGGACCUCUGGAAGAGCAGUCAGUGCUCUUAACCUCUGAGCCAUC
Peromyscus californicus insignis is the source of this 2856-nucleotide long non-coding RNA. RefSeq lists it as uncharacterized. Lineage: Eukaryota; Metazoa; Chordata; Mammalia; Rodentia; Cricetidae. The transcript is spliced from 3 exons. The record is from RefSeq and is a predicted model, not a curated record.